Molecule: long non-coding RNA, 630 nt
Organism: Eucalyptus grandis
Lineage: Eukaryota; Viridiplantae; Streptophyta; Magnoliopsida; Myrtales; Myrtaceae
Exons: 2
Source: RefSeq, a predicted model, not a curated record
UCUGCCGCUUCUCAUGGUGAUACCCCUCUCCAUCCCCGUCGGGCCUGCGGUAGCCGCCGCGGAUCGUCCAUCGCCGGCCACCGACGCACGCAGUCAUCGCAGAGAGCACAGACGCAAAGAUAUCAGCAAUUCCGCGGUCGAUCGCCGCCAGUUCUGCCACCGUGAAGAGGCUCCGAUCGCCCCAGUUUCAGAGUCAUUGCUGCCGAGAGCGAGAAGGCGAAUGCAAAUUGCAGCAGCGGAGAGAGUUGAGAUUGGGGCUUCGUGGUUCUGAAAGACCAUAUGUUGUUAAUUAAUCAGCUUUGUUUUGAGUUCUCUACUGUUUUUUUUUUUUUUUUUUUUGGUGGGGGAUGCUUUUAGUGUGUCUGAAAGAGGAAGGAUCUGUCUGAAUAGGAACUGAUCUGGGUUUGAGGGGUUUGUUAUCUUUUCUGACUGGUGAUGGAGUUACAUGAUACUGUGGAACUCGAAUGUUUUGGAUAUAAUGGGAACGGAAUAUGCUGGAGGUGUCGAAGACUCUUUUGUUGCAUCUCUUCUUCAUUGGUUGUUUGCGUGGACAAAUAUGCUCGAUCGGUCUUUUUGAUGUACGAACUUUGGCUAGAAGAUUCGACUGAUUAAUGUCCGUGAUUGAAUGCU